Molecule: ribosomal RNA, 555 nt
Filed under: Numenius arquata (Eurasian curlew)
Lineage: Eukaryota; Metazoa; Chordata; Aves; Charadriiformes; Scolopacidae
Description: partial 12S ribosomal RNA
Rfam family: Bacterial small subunit ribosomal RNA
Source: RNAcentral
ACGGCGUAAAGAGUGGUACCAUGAUAUCACAACAACUAAGAUCAAAGCACAACUAAGCUGUCAUAAGCUCAAGAUGUGUCUAAACCCCCGACGAUCUUAGCACGACCAAUUUAACUCCACGAAAGCUAAGGGACAAACUGGGAUUAGAUACCCCACUAUGCUUAGCCCUAAAUCUUGACGUAGCGUCCGCCCGAGGACUACGAGCACAAACGCUUAAAACUCUAAGGACUUGGCGGUGCCCCAAACCCACCUAGAGGAGCCUGUUCUAUAAUCGAUAACCCACGUUACACCAACCGCCUCUCGCACAGCCUAUAUACCGCCGUCGCCAGUUCACCUUCCUUGAGAGCCCAGCAGUGAACAUAAUAGAAACGCUAGCAAGACAGGUCGAGGUAUAGCCUACGAGACGGAAGAAAUGGGCUACAUUUUCUAAAAUAGGAAGAAGGCGUGAAACCCCUUCUGAAGGCGGAUUUAGUAGUAAAGCGAGACAAUAGCUCUCUUAAAACCGGCUCUGGGCACGUACAUACCGCCCGUCACCCUCCUCAUAAGCUACUGAAG